RNAcentral lists this ribosomal RNA (429 nucleotides) under Verrucomicrobiota bacterium. RNAcentral's name for it is "Verrucomicrobia bacterium partial 16S ribosomal RNA". It matches the Rfam family "Bacterial small subunit ribosomal RNA", at positions 355 to 776 of the family's 1533-position model. The record is from RNAcentral. Lineage: Bacteria; Pseudomonadati; Verrucomicrobiota.
UAGGGAAUCUUCGGCAAUGGGGGGAAACCUGACCGAGCAAUGCCGCGUGAGUGAAGAAGGCUUUCGGAUCGUAAAGCUCUGUUGUUAAGGACGAACGACUGUGUGAAUGGAAAGUUCAUGCUGUGACGGUACUUAACCAGAAAGGGACGGCUAACUACGUGCCUGAAGCCGCGGUAAUACGCAGGUCCCGAGUGUUGUCCGGAUUUAUUGGGCGUAAAGCGAGCGCAGGCGGUUAGUAAAGUCUGAAGUAAAAGGCAGUGUCUCAACCAUUGUAGGCUUUGGAAACUGUUUAACUUGAGUGCAGAAGGGGAGAGUGGAAUUCCAUGUGUAGCGGUGAAAUGCGUAGAUAUAUGGAGGAACACCGGUGGCGAAAGCGGCUCUCUGUUCUGUAACUGACGCUGAGGCUCGAAAGCGUGGGGAGCGAACAGG